UACGGGGGGGGGCAAGCGUUGUUCGGAAUUACUGGGCGUAAAGGGCUCGUAGGUUGCCAACUAAGUCGGACGUGAAAUCCCUCAGCUUAACUGGGGAACUGCGUCCGAUACUGGAUGGCUUGAGUUUGGGAGAGGGAUGCGGAAUUCCAGGUGUAGCGGUGAAAUGCGUAGAUAUCUGGAGGAACACCCGUGGCGAAGGCGGCUCUCUGGAACGCAACUGACGCUGAGACGCGAAAGCGUGGGGAGCAACAGG
This 253-nucleotide ribosomal RNA is filed under the name uncultured bacterium. RNAcentral's name for it is "partial 16S ribosomal RNA". It matches the Rfam family "Bacterial small subunit ribosomal RNA", at positions 524 to 775 of the family's 1533-position model. The record is from RNAcentral.